Colossoma macropomum (tambaqui) is the source of this 768-nucleotide long non-coding RNA. RefSeq lists it as uncharacterized. The record is from RefSeq and is a predicted model, not a curated record. The transcript has 4 exons. NCBI's taxonomy places the organism in Eukaryota, Metazoa, Chordata, Actinopteri, Characiformes, Serrasalmidae.
ACCCAGGACGACAAAGGCUCCUCUUCGCCUCUACAGGACUUCGCUUCUGACCUUGUGAACCUCCCUGAGGUAAAAUGACUGGAAACAAAUGUGGCCGUUCGGGAGGUGAAGUCGAACCCGUUGGCGUGGUACCCGCACAGGAAAUGACAUCAACGGGUCAAAAACUGAAAAUAUGUCGCCGGACGGACCGGUGGGAUGAGGCCGCCCUGGCCGCGAGGACGGAGCGGGGAUGCUUUACUUCAGUGGCUCGCUGAACUAGCCCACGCAAGACAGGUAUCAAAUCUGGUGGAGCUCCAGAAAAAUGAACACCUGCUGUCUGUAGAUGAGUCUGAAGCUCAGCUGGAGCUGCCGCACAGUCAGGAUUAUGACAGGAGAGGAGAACCAAAGAACUGAAGAAGAUGAAAAAGCAGCACAUAAUGGAGAAGUAAGCUGUGCGUCGGGCGACUGUAGAGAAGGUGGUGGGUGACCAGGAACUGUUGGGUGGUAUUUUCAGAAAGAAUCAUUUGCAGUUGACUCAACAGUGUUGGGCUCUACAGUGUUUGAAUGUGGUAAUGGGCAGCACUCUCACAGCCAGUUCUCUCAGAAUUUGUUGAUUGCAGCCAUAUUGCAUGGGGCUGAUGUUCUGAGGUUAGGUGAACCGCUAGCUCUAGCCUUUGUAGUAUCACUGUCGUGACUCAAUACAUGUGAAAUGUAACGUCUAUGUAAUUUUGCUGCCUUGAUUUAUUUACAAGCAAUGCCAUGAAAGUGUCUGAAGGCUUUGUCAUCACU